AUGGCGGCGCUCCGGCUAGCGUUGAGGAGGUUUUGCGACCGUGCGCUCGGGAGAUCAGCGGGCAUUUACGAGCUCAAGGCUGCCAAGGAAUUCCCCGACAUUGAUCCUGGGCAUCUCAAGGCUGCCAGGAAAUUCCCCAAACUUCGUGUCAAGGAUGCCGAUGCUACGGCUCUGAAUGUCUUCAAGAUUCUCCGGGACAGUCCAGUCGAUGGUCAUAAAGAUGUAACCCUUCGUGAAGUGCGCAUGACUCUGAGGACCUUGGCUGAGAUUCAGGAAGAAGAAGAAUGA
RNAcentral lists this ribosomal RNA (288 nucleotides) under Triticum aestivum (bread wheat). RNAcentral's name for it is "partial small subunit ribosomal RNA". The record is from RNAcentral. Lineage: Eukaryota; Viridiplantae; Streptophyta; Magnoliopsida; Poales; Poaceae.